This 75-nucleotide transfer RNA is filed under the name marine sediment metagenome. RNAcentral describes it as "tRNA-Glu". It matches the Rfam family "tRNA". From Rfam's summary of the family: Transfer RNA (tRNA) molecules are approximately 80 nucleotides in length. Their secondary structure includes four short double-helical elements and three loops (D, anti-codon, and T loops). The record is from RNAcentral.
CUCUCGGUAGUUUAGUGGUUAGAACGCUGGGCCUUCAACCCGGAAACCGGGGUUCGAUCCCCCGUCGAGAGACCA